Molecule: ribosomal RNA, 253 nt
Filed under: uncultured bacterium
Lineage: Bacteria
Description: partial 16S ribosomal RNA
Rfam family: Bacterial small subunit ribosomal RNA
Source: RNAcentral
UACGUAGGGCGCAAGCGUUAUCCGGAAUUAUUGGGCGUAAAGAGCUCGUAGGCGGUUUGUCGCGUCUGCCGUGAAAGUCCGGGGCUUAACCCCGGAUCUGCGCUGGGUACGGGCAGACUAGAGUGCAGUAGGGGAGACUGGAAUUCCUGGUGUAGCGGUGAAAUGCACAGAUAUCAGGAGGAACACCGAUGGCGAAGGCAGGUCUCUGGGCUGUUACUGACGCUGAGGAGCGAAAGCAUGGGGAGCGAACAGG